GAUGAACGCUGGCGGCGUGUCUAAUACAUGCAAGUCGAGCGAACAGAUAAGGAGCUUGCUCCUUUGACGUUAGCGGCGGACGGGUGAGUAACACGUGGAUAACCUACCUAUAAGACUGGGAUAACUUCGGGAAACCGGAGCUAAUACCGGAUAACAUAUUGAACCGCAUGGUUCAAUAGUGAAAGGCGGCUUUGCUGUCACUUAUAGAUGGAUCCGCGCCGUAUUAGCUAGUUGGUAAGGUAACGGCUUACCAAGGCAACGAUACGUAGCCGACCUGAGAGGGUGAUCGGCCACACUGGAACUGAGACACGGUCCAGACUCCUACGGGAGGCAGCAGUAGGGAAUCUUCCGCAAUGGGCGAAAGCCUGACGGAGCAACGCCGCGUGAGUGAUGAAGGUCUUCGGAUCGUAAAACUCUGUUAUCAGGGAAGAACAAAUGUGUAAGUAACUGUGCACAUCUUGACGGUACCUGAUCAGAAAGCCACGGCUAACUACGUG
This 497-nucleotide ribosomal RNA is filed under the name uncultured bacterium. RNAcentral describes it as "partial 16S ribosomal RNA". It matches the Rfam family "Bacterial small subunit ribosomal RNA", at positions 28 to 507 of the family's 1533-position model. The record is from RNAcentral.